Molecule: ribosomal RNA, 301 nt
Filed under: uncultured bacterium
Lineage: Bacteria
Description: partial 16S ribosomal RNA
Rfam family: Bacterial small subunit ribosomal RNA
Source: RNAcentral
CAGUCGCCACGGUAAUACGGAGGGUGCGAUCGUUAAUCGGAAUUACUGGGCGUAAAGCGUACGCAGGCGGUUUGUUAAGUCAGAUGAGAAAUCCCCGAGCUUAACUCGGGAACUGCAUUUGAAACUGGCAGGCUAGAGUCUCGUAGAGGGGGGUAGAAUUCCAGGUGUAGCGGUGAAAUGCGUAGAGAUCUGGAGGAAUACCGGUGGCGAAGGCGGCCACCUGGGACAACACUGACGCUGAGGCACGAAAGCGUGGGGAGCAGACAGGAUUAGAUACCCCAGUAGUCCCUGUCUCUUAUAC